RNAcentral lists this ribosomal RNA (615 nucleotides) under Triticum aestivum (bread wheat). RNAcentral describes it as "partial small subunit ribosomal RNA". Lineage: Eukaryota; Viridiplantae; Streptophyta; Magnoliopsida; Poales; Poaceae. The record is from RNAcentral.
AUGGACGGCGGAUUGCACGGGAGGCACGCGACGCACGGGCAGUGGUUGUGCGGCUCCGUUCCCCUCUCUCCCUCUACCCCGGGCUCGCCGGAGAUGGGGGACGCCGGCGCUUCCACCUUCAAUCCGCUCCUCCGGCGCGGCGCAAACACUUCCGGCCCCUGUGAUGGAAAGGAGGAUGCAAUGUCGGGACAAAUGCUUAAGCGAGGGGUAAAGGCGAUGCCCACAGAAGACCACAUAAGAGGGAAUCCAAAGAAGCAGCUAAAUUUAACCGAAGUGUUGGCUGAGGCAGUGAAGUGUGCUCAAGCUCUCAAGACUGAUGAAUUGAUUACUGACACUAGAUUUAAGGAAGCUUUUGCUAAGCUGAUAAAUGAAGUGUACCCACGUCUACCUGAGAGUCUACAGGAUCAACUGCUUGCUGAUUUCAAACUCAACAUCCUCCGUCGGGCGCAAGAGAAAAAUACUCGCCCGGUUGAGUUGAUGGAUGGCGAACAGAAGAACUUCCUCGGGAAGAAAGGAGUUCGUACCAAUACAUUGUGGAUUAUAGAAAAGCUAGUCCUGUUAGUUGGCGUAUGCUGCUUCAUCUACCUCAUGAGCUUCUAUGUCACUGGGUAUUGA